RNAcentral lists this long non-coding RNA (690 nucleotides) under Triticum aestivum (bread wheat). RNAcentral's name for it is "long non-coding RNA (TAES_LNC004119)". Lineage: Eukaryota; Viridiplantae; Streptophyta; Magnoliopsida; Poales; Poaceae. The record is from RNAcentral.
CCUCUUGUCCUCUUCCCCUAGCAUUUUUCUAACAAAUCAGCGACACAAAUUCAAAUUUCUGGGUACCAUUACGUACAUUUCAGUAACAAGAAUGGGUGCCAUUACAUACGUUUGAGUAACAAGAAACCGUAAAAACAUAAAGUAUGCCUUGCCUGUACAUGGAUAACACGGGACACAAUGAUACAAAACCUAGGAAAAAUGUUAGGCAAAUCCCCUCUAAUAAACAGACAAAUGUGCUUAUCUCUAGACUCCACUAAAAAUAGAAACCAAGGUGCAGCGUACGCUGUAUUUCAUCGUCACUCUCUCAUUUUCAGUCAUGCUUCCUGUCCCUGCUACCUUUGUCUCUGUCUUCGUUAAUCCUUGCAGCCGGCGACCUCGAGCGAUCCCUUGAUGAGCUGCUCAACCCGCCAGGCAAACGGCUCCGCGGUGCCACAGAGAGCACUGGUCUGCAUGCAUACAACAUUCAGAUGAGAUACCAUCUUAAAUGGUUGGUACAAACCAAAAACUACCUCUGAAAAUCAAGACAUGGCAUUACGAUUUCAGAAGAAAAGUAGAAGCAGUUUCUCCCAUCAUAGUGCUGGACUACAGGCUUUCCCCUCCCGUUGCAGGCAACAUCAAUUUGGAGAAGAUUCAAGCAUGAAUUUCGUGCUUAGGCCUCGGACAGGUCGCCGCUUAGGCUUUGGCAGGUCG